CAAUAGCGUAUAUUAAUGUUGUUGCAGUUAAAAAGCUCGUAGUUGGAUUUCUGAUGAGAGCCCUGGUCACUCUAACGAGUGUACUGAUGUGGCGUCUCGUCGUUUCAUGGGGAUGCUUGCUGGUAUUAAGUUAUCGGCUUGUGGAUCCAUGUCGUUUACUGUGAAAAAAUUAGAGUGUUCAAAGCAGGCCAUCGCUGUGAAUACAUUAGCAUGGAAUAAUAAGAUAGGACUGUGGUGCUAUUUUGUUGGUUUGCGUACUACGGUAAUGAUUAAUAGGGAUAGUUGGGGGUAUUCAUAUUCAAUUGUCAGAGGUGAAAUUCUUGGAUUUAUGGAAGAUGAACUACUGCGAAAGCAUUUACCAAGGAUGUUUNCAUUAA
RNAcentral lists this ribosomal RNA (377 nucleotides) under uncultured eukaryote. RNAcentral describes it as "partial 18S ribosomal RNA". It matches the Rfam family "Eukaryotic small subunit ribosomal RNA", at positions 592 to 976 of the family's 1831-position model. The record is from RNAcentral.